RNAcentral lists this long non-coding RNA (2161 nucleotides) under Marmota monax (woodchuck). The record is from RNAcentral. Lineage: Eukaryota; Metazoa; Chordata; Mammalia; Rodentia; Sciuridae.
CGUUGCCUCAUGCGUGCCAGGCAAGUGCUCUAUCACUGAGCCAGAACCCCAGCCCCAAAAAAUCUCAAUAUUUAACAGUAAAUUUCUGAGGCAGAGACAGUCUCUGUGAACCUGGUCCUGCAAACCUGAGCAAGCAGUCCCUGCAGCGAUGCGAUGGCACAAUGAGGACCAUAUCCAAGUGCUUCAGAGAUGUCUUUUUUGUCUUCUCUGGUUCCGCUGGCACCUUCCCUUCUCACUAUCUGUCCUCUGUCCAUCUUUCCAUUCUUUGUCUCUUCUGCUAGAGAUCCCUUCCUGUCCCCUUCUAACAGAUGAGAAGUCUGAGCAUUUUUACAUUCCUGGUCUCUCUUUUGCCUCUGCCCCCCACACACUGGGGUCUGAUCCCAGUAGGAAUGCCACUACAGGUGGCCUUACCUUGAGGCUCUGUAUCCUUUACACAUGUAUACCCUAGUCGGGUGUUCCUAGUGCCCCAGUGCCCAGAGUUGUAACUGGAAAAGGGAUUUAUUUGCAUGGUCCAACUAUACCCAGGAUUCUCUACCUGAGCCUUCCCACCACACAGCCUACUCUCUGUGCCCACACAGUGUUAGGCAGUCCUCCACCAAACCCACAGCCAUGGUGACACAGGCUCCACAGUGACUUGAGAAGACCCCUCUCAGUCUCCUUCAGUCUUAUGACCUGGCUGCCACAUCCUCUUCCCAGCUCUGCUAGAGGCCACAGGGCUUGUUCCAUUUUACACUUCAGCCUGUAGGAUGAAUGGAUACCAUUCCCAGAUGAACCUCUCUCUCCAGAAGGUCCCAGGGUAUUUUAAGUCAGGAGACCUAAGGUCACCUAGGAUAACUGAACAUAGAGGUGGCAGAAGACUGGUUAAAACUGCCAUGGUUAGCCAGGCACAAUGGUGCAUGAUUUUAAUCCCAGCAACUCUGAAGGGUGAGGCAGAGGAUUGCAAAUUCAAGGCCAGCCUCAAGAACUUAGCAAGACCCUAAGCAACAUAGUGAGACCCUGUAUCAAAUUAAAAAAAAAAAAAAAAAGAGCUGGAGAUUGUAGGUCAGUAAUAAAGCACAUUGAGUUCAAUCUUCAGUACCCAAAUCAAUCAAUCACAUGGUCACAUAUUCAUUCUUACUCAUUAAUAAGUUCUUAGAGCUUCCUUUCCAGCCUGAUCCUCUGUAUUCUUCCAUUUAUUCUUCCCAGAGCCCACACAGGGGAUGCCAGCACAGCCCACCUCACAAGUGAGCUAAAGUAUAGGGAGGAAUAUGACCUCUGGGGCUAUGCAGGCCCAGCUGGACCAAGAGGCAGCUCAGUCCAAUUCUCACAGCCUUGAGCCCCUGGAGAUACUCGUAAGCCUGGGAGAGAGAGCACUUGGUGAUAGAAGAGGUCCACAGCACGGAUGAGAAAAGGGCUGUGGGAAGAGGGCUCUCCAAAGAAGAAACAUACAGCUCAGAAAGAGGCCCCUCCUCUUUGGGGAAAGAAGAGAAUCUGGGUGGGCCCUGGACUCCACCCAAGAAGCCCUCAGCUUGGGCACUGUCCUGAGAUAGGAACCCCUCCCAGCAGUUCCCAGGGCUCCUCUGCCAUCUGCUGUGGCAUCCCCAUGUCAUAUCCCAUAUGUCAGGCCUUCCCCUGAGGGAAGUUGAUGGACAGAUGGGAAGUGUGGCUGUCAUACCAUCUCCUUCCAGGCAGUGCGAAUUCUACCUGGCCUCCUCCCCCUCUUCCCGAUGCCUCCCUGGCAUUCAGGGUCACCAGCCAUCAGUCUGAACCUCUGCCCCUAGCAGGUACAAAGCUCUGGCCCUGGGCUGCUGUGGGCAGGCCUUUCACUCAGCUUGCCCAUCACCGAUCUUCAGGACACAGACUGGAUAGUCUAGGUAAGGCAAAGCAGGCCUGGGGCUCCCUCUUCCCCCACAGGUGAGAAGCACCCUUGGCCUGACAGUGCUCUGGGCCACUAACCACUGGAAGUCAUAGCCUGGACCACUGACCACACCUUCAGAAACAAGCUCAUCUCACCCAGGCCCCUCCUCUCCCUGCCUAGGCUGGAAAUAGCAGUCAGGAGAUUCUUCUGGGAUUGUAACGGCUGCAGAGCCCUCAUCAAUAAUUGAUUCUGCAGAAGCAGUGGAUUAAGUGCUGAGAAGAGGUCUCAAAGCCCUAGGCCCCAAGUCAGGAAGGAAGAGCCCAC